AACGUAGGAGACAAACGUUAUCCGGAGUUACUGGGCGUAAAGGGCGUGUAGGCGGUUAGUUAAGUCUGGCGUGAAAGCUCUCGGCUAAACCGGGAGAGGUCGUUGGAUACUGGCAAACUAGAGGACGGUAGAGGCGUGUGGAAUUCCGGGUGUAGUGGUGAAAUGCGUAGAUAUUCGGAAGAACACCAGUGGCGAAGGCGGCUCACUGGUCCGGUACUGACGCUGAGGUGCGAAAGCGUGGGGAGCAAACAGG
RNAcentral lists this ribosomal RNA (253 nucleotides) under uncultured bacterium. RNAcentral's name for it is "partial 16S ribosomal RNA". It matches the Rfam family "Bacterial small subunit ribosomal RNA", at positions 524 to 776 of the family's 1533-position model. The record is from RNAcentral.